RNAcentral lists this ribosomal RNA (483 nucleotides) under uncultured bacterium. RNAcentral's name for it is "bacterial SSU rRNA". It matches the Rfam family "Bacterial small subunit ribosomal RNA", at positions 32 to 527 of the family's 1533-position model. The record is from RNAcentral.
AAUCAACGCUGGCGGCGUGCCUAACACAUGCAAGUCGAACGAGAAAGUGGAGCAAUCCAUGAGUAAAGUGGCGACCGGGUGAGUAACACGUGACUAACCUACCUUCAAGUGGGGGAUAACCUCGGGAAACCGGGGCUAAUACCGCAUAACAUCCUUAGAGUGGAAAUUCCGGGGAUCAAAGGAGCAAUUCGCUGGAAGAGGGGGUCGCGGCUGAUUAGUUAGUUGGCGGGGUAAUGGCCCACCAAGACAGAGAUCGGUAGCCGGCCUGAGAGGGCGCACGGCCACACUGGAACUGAAACACGGUCCAGACUCCUACGGGAGGCAGCAGUGGGGAAUUUUGCGCAAUGGGGGGAACCCUGACGCAGCAACGCCGCGUGGAGGAUGAAGUCCCUUGGGACGUAAACUCCUUUCGACCGGGACGAUAAUGACGGUACCGGUGGAAGAAGCCCCGGCUAACUUCGUGCCAGCAGCCGCCGCAGUAAG